RNAcentral lists this ribosomal RNA (520 nucleotides) under Chiasmocleis bassleri (Bassler's humming frog). RNAcentral describes it as "Syncope bassleri (Bassler's humming frog) partial large subunit ribosomal RNA". It matches the Rfam family "Bacterial large subunit ribosomal RNA", at positions 1818 to 2567 of the family's 2925-position model. The record is from RNAcentral. Lineage: Eukaryota; Metazoa; Chordata; Amphibia; Anura; Microhylidae.
GCCUUCUGAAAAGAUAUAGAAGGUCUAGCCUGCCCAGUGACAAAGUUAAACGGCCGCGGUACCCUAACCGUGCGAAGGUAGCGCAAUCACUUGUUCUUUAAAUAAGGACUAGUAUGAAUGGCAUCACGAGGAUUAUUCUGUCUCCCCCUUUUAAUUAGUGAAACUGAUCUCCCCGUGAAGAAGCGGGGAUUAUUUUAUAAGACGAGAAGACCCUAUGGAGCUUUAAACUUACACCACGUACCUUAAAUAAUUUCAUAAUAAAUGGGUAAGCCUGUGUGCCAGUUUUCGGUUGGGGUGACCACGGAGCAAAGCAAAACCUCCAUGCUGAAAAGAUACCUUCUUAAUCCAAGAAUAACACUUCAAAGAAUCAGAAUACUGACAUUAUUGAUCCAAACAAUUUGAUCAACGAACCAAGUUACCCUAGGGAUAACAGCGCAAUCCAUUUCAAGAGCUCAUAUCGACAAAUGGGUUUACGACCUCGAUGUUGGAUCAGGGUAUCCCAGUGGUGCAGCCGCUACUA